RNAcentral lists this long non-coding RNA (2302 nucleotides) under Callithrix jacchus (white-tufted-ear marmoset). RNAcentral's name for it is "lncRNA (ENSCJAG00000078766.1)". Lineage: Eukaryota; Metazoa; Chordata; Mammalia; Primates; Cebidae. The record is from RNAcentral.
AUUUCAAUCGGAGAAAACAGAAGGAACAAAUGUUCAGAACCAUAAAGAGGCUGAUGCCAAUGGAGCUGUAAAUAUUUUGUCUUUUCAGGAAUACAGAAUUUAAUAAAUAAGUAUGGAAAGAUUAGUAAAGGCCAGAUAACCAAAUCCCUUAUCUCGAAAGGGUAUCUGACUUGAUAAUACACUGAAGGGUUUUAAUUAAGAUAAUGACAGGACAAGACUUAUAUUGUAGAAAAUUCCUCCUGGUGGCAGAGUAGAAAGUGAAUUUGGAGGCAAAAUGACCCUGGACACAAGCAGAGUCCCUGGGAAGCCAUUACAUUUGUUAAGAGGUAGUGAAAGUUGCAACCAAGGUGUCGGGGAUUGAACAAUCUCCCUGAGAAGAUAAGUUCAACUCCUAACUAGUGUGUGUGAAUACAACCUUAUUUGGAAACAGGGUCUUUGCGAUGUCAUCCAGUUAAGAUGAGGUCAUAACUAACAAUGGUGUGCUCCAACCCAAUGGCUAGAGUCCUUAGAAGAAGAGGAAAGUUUGGACACAAAGACAUACAGAGGGAGAAGGUCAUGUGACAAUGGUGGUAGAGACUGGAGUGCUGUGUUUGCAGGCUAAAGAAUACCUGGAAUAACGACCAGCACCUACCAGAAGCCAUGAAGAGAGAAGGAAGAGCCUUCCGAGAGGGCAGGGCGCUGGCCACAUCUUAGCUUCAGACUUCUGGCCUUUAGAACAGCCGAAAAGAAGAGGCCGACUGGAGGGUCCUCAAUGGCCACAGGAGAGGGAGCCCAUCUCAGGCAGAAUGUACAGCCUGAGACACCUGCCGAGUACACUGGAGAGAAAAAUGCUCUGUGUACCAGGUGUCACCUCUGCAUUCAGCUUCACUGAUCAAGAAAAUGAAUUCGAUCCUGGAUCUCUGUCCUUCCGAUAGCAGCUUUCUGGGAGAAGUCGUCAAUAUGGUAAAUUAUCUUCCCAGCUGUUAAUACUGUGUACCCAUCUUGUUUCCCUUCUUUUAUUUCAGCUGAGCACCAAUUUGUGCCAUGAUAUUUACAUGAAUAUCUUCAUUUCAUCAGUACCAUUGUCCAUCUGUUUGGCUGAGGGCUGAAUUACCAAGCUGUGGCCAGGAAUGGAGGCAUUAGCCAGUCUAAAUGCUAACUUCUCCCCGAAAAGAAGGGCAGUCCCAUUUUCAGUUUUCCUGCCUCUGCUUACCACUGAAAUGCAGCCUAGCAGACGUGGAGCAGAGAAUUAGAAAAACCAUCCUUUAGCAGAAAGUUAGAAAAUGUUGAGGUGCUGGGCACGGUGGCUCACGCCUAUAAUCUCAGCACUUUGGGAGGCCAAGGCGGGUGGGUCACCAGAAGUCAGGAGUUUGAGACCAGCCUGGCCAAUGUGAUAAAACCUCAUCUCUACUAAAAAUACAAAAAUUAGGCAUGGUGGCAAGCACCUGUAAUCCUAGCUACUCAGGAGGCUGAGGCAGGAGAAUCACUUGAGCUUGGGAGGCAGAAGUUGUAGUAAGCCAAGAUCACACCACUGCACUCCAGCCUGGGAAACAGAGUAAGACUUCAUCUCAGAAGAAAAGAAAGAAAGAAAGAAGAUGAUGAGGUAUUUGUCUUCUUGAAGACAGUGGCUAUGCCAUGAAAGCUGAGUGCAGAACAUGAAAUAAACAUUCUGGCCACUUUAGCUGAGCCCCUGCUCUGCAACCCCAGAUCUAACAAACACACAUUAUUCAUUCAUUUAAACAUAGUUAACGUGGACUUACUACAAGUCAGACAUAGUAGACUAUGAAUGCAAAAUAGUCUCUGAAUUCACAAACUCUUUCAUUCCAUGAGGUCAACAGAUACGUCUUGUACAUCUACUGUAUGCCAAGCGCUGUGCUAAGCCCUGGGGAUGAAGCACUGAUUAAACCAAGGACAUGCUCUGAAGGACUCAGAAGGUGAUGUUUGACAACCACAUUUGGAAAGACAGUUUUCCAUGCAGAAAAAGAAUGGCUCUCGCAAAAGCUCCAAGACAGAAAUGAAUUUGACACAUUCAAGGCAUAGAGAAAAGGUAGAGUGGUGUGAGUGAGUGAGCAGCGAGAGGGGAGGUGGAAGUUGUGGACAGAGUCUAAGAGACUGGGGUGGCCAUGGCAUGGCCUCGGAUCUUAUUCUUCAUGUGAUGAGAAGACAUUGAAGAGCUUUAAGAGAAGUGCUGCCGUUGCGUGAAUUACCUUUUAAAAGGAUCAUCUAGUCAACCCCUCUUGUGGAGAAUGGGCUGCAGAGGAACAAGUCUGGAGGGAAACCAGUUAGAACUAUUUCAUUUGUCAAGGUGAGAAAUAAGGUAGCU